Molecule: ribosomal RNA, 494 nt
Filed under: uncultured bacterium
Lineage: Bacteria
Description: partial 16S ribosomal RNA
Rfam family: Bacterial small subunit ribosomal RNA
Source: RNAcentral
GACGAACGCUGGCGGCGUGCCUAAUACAUGCAAGUCGAACGCUGAAGGAGGAGCUUGCUUCUCUGGAUGAGUUGCGAACGGGUGAGUAACGCGUAGGUAACCUGCCUGGUAGUGGGGGAUAACUAUUGGAAACGAUAGCUAAUACCGCAUAAUAGCAGUUGUUGCAUGAUAACUGUUUGAAAGGUGCAAUUGCACCGCUACCAGAUGGACCUGCGUUGUAUUAGCUAGUUGGUGGGGUAACGGCUCACCAAGGCGACGAUACAUAGCCGACCUGAGAGGGUGAUCGGCCACACUGGGACUGAGACACGGCCCAGACUCCUACGGGAGGCAGCAGUAGGGAAUCUUCGGCAAUGGACGGAAGUCUGACCGAGCAACGCCGCGUGAGUGAAGAAGGUGUUCGGAUCGUAAAGCUCUGUUGUAAGAGAAGAACGAGUGUGAGAGUGGAAAGUGCACACUGUGACGGGAUCUUACCAGAAAGGGACGGCUAACUACGU